GGCCAGACUCCUACGGGAGGCAGCAGUGGGGAAUAUUGGGCAAUGGACGCAAGUCUGACCCAGCAACGCCGCGUGAAGGAAGAAGGCUUUCGGGUUGUAAACUUCUUUUAAGGGGGAAGAGCAGAAGACGGUACCCCUUGAAUAAGCCACGGCUAACUACGUGCCAGCAGCCGCGGUAAUACGUAGGUGGCAAGCGUUGUCCGGAUUUACUGGGUGUAAAGGGAGCGUAGACGGCAUGGCAAGUCUGAUGUGAAAACCCGGGGCCCAACCCCGGGACUGCCCUUGGAACUGUGCGGCUAGAGUGCGGGAGGGGCAGGCGGAAUUCCUGGUGUAGCGGUGAAAUGCGUAGAUAUCAGGAGGAACACCGGCGGCGAAGGCGGCCUGCUGGACCGCGACUGACGUUGAGGCUCGAAAGCGUGGGGAGCGAACAGGAUUAGAUACCCUAGUA
RNAcentral lists this ribosomal RNA (448 nucleotides) under uncultured bacterium. RNAcentral describes it as "partial 16S ribosomal RNA". It matches the Rfam family "Bacterial small subunit ribosomal RNA", at positions 329 to 792 of the family's 1533-position model. The record is from RNAcentral.